This 464-nucleotide ribosomal RNA is filed under the name uncultured bacterium. RNAcentral describes it as "partial 16S ribosomal RNA". It matches the Rfam family "Bacterial small subunit ribosomal RNA", at positions 339 to 795 of the family's 1533-position model. The record is from RNAcentral.
CUACGGGGGGCUGCAGCUAAGAAUCUUCCGCAAUGGGGGAAACCCUGACGGAGCGACGCCGCGUGUGUGAUGAAGGCCGUGAGGUUGUAAAGCACUUUUCUUACUGAAGAAUAAUGAGGGGAGGGAAUGCCCUUCAGAUGACGUUAGGUGAGGAAUAAGCCCCGGCUAAUUACGUGCCAGCAGCCGCGGUAACACGUAAGGGGCGAGCGUUGUUCGGAUUUAUUGGGCGUAAAGGGCGUGUAGGCGGUUUAUCAAGCCUGAUGUGAAAUACCCCGGCUUAACCGGGGGGACGCGUUGGGAACUGUUAGACUAGAAUGUAAGAGGGGUAGUUGGAAUUCGAGGUGUAGGGGUGAAAUCUGUAGAUAUCUGGAAGAACACCGGUGGCGAAGGCGAACUACUGGCUAUACAUUGACGCUGAGGCGCGAAAGUGUGGGGAGCGAACAGGAUUAGAUACCCUCGUAGUC